UUCGCCCUUAGAGUUUGAUCCUGGCUCAGGACGAACGCUGUCGGCGCGCCUAACACAUGCAAGUCGAACGAGCGAGAGAGAGCUUGCUUUCUCAAGCGAGUGGCGAACGGGUGAGUAACGCGUGAGGAACCUGCCUCAAAGAGGGGGACAACAGUUGGAAACGACUGCUAAUACCGCAUAAGCCCACAGGUCGGCAUCGACCAGAGGGAAAAGGAGCAAUCCGCUUUGAGAUGGCCUCGCGUCCGAUUAGCUAGUUGGUGAGGUAAUGGCCCACCAAGGCAACGAUCGGUAGCCGGACUGAGAGGUUGAACGGCCACAUUGGGACUGAGACACGGCCCAGACUCCUACGGGAGGCAGCAGUGGGGAAUAUUGCACAAUGGGGGAAACCUUGAUGCAGCGACGCCGCGUGGAGGAAGAAGGUCUUCGGAUUGUAAACUCCUGUUGUUGAGGAAGAUAAUGACGGUACUCAACAAGGAAGUGACGGCUAACUACGUGCCAGCAGCCGCGGUAAAACGUAGGUCACAAGCGUUGUCCGGAAUUACUGGGUGUAAAGGGAGCGCAGGCGGGAAGACAAGUUGGAAGUGAAAUCUAUGGGCUCAACCCAUAAACUGCUUUCAAAACUGUUUUUCUUGAGUAGUGCAGAGGUAGGCGGAAUUCCCGGUGUAGCGGUGGAAUGCGUAGAUAUCGGGAGGAACACCAGUGGCGAAGGCGGCCUACUGGGCACCAACUGACGCUGAGGCUCGAAAGUGUGGGUAGCAAACAGGAUUAGAUACCCUGGUAGUCCACACCGUAAACGAUGAUUACUAGGUGUUGGAGGAUUGACCCCUUCAGUGCCGCAGUUAACACAAUAAGUAAUCCACCUGGGGAGUACGACCGCAAGGUUGAAACUCAAAGGAAUUGACGGGGGCCCGCACAAGCAGUGGAGUAUGUGGAUUAAUUCGAAGCAACGCGAAGAACCUUACCAGGUCUUGACAUCGUAUGCAUAGCUCAGAGAUGAGUGAAAUCUCUUCGGAGACAUAUAGACAGGUGGUGCAUGGUUGUCGUCAGCUCGUGUCGUGAGAUGUUGGGUUAAGUCCCGCAACGAGCGCAACCCUUACUGUUAGUUGCUACGCAAGAGCACUCUAGCAGGACUGCCGUUGACAAAACGGAGGAAGGUGGGGAUGACGUCAAAUCAUCAUGCCCCUUAUGACCUGGGCCUCACACGUACUACAAUGGCUGUUAACAGAGGGAUGCAAAGCCGCGAGGUGGAGCGAACCCCUAAAAGCAGUCUUAGUUCGGAUUGUAGGCUGCAACCCGCCUACAUGAAGUCGGAAUUGCUAGUAAUCGCAGAUCAGCAUGCUGCGGUGAAUACGUUCCCGGGCCUUGCACACACCGCCCGUCA
This 1381-nucleotide ribosomal RNA is filed under the name uncultured bacterium. RNAcentral describes it as "16S ribosomal RNA". It matches the Rfam family "Bacterial small subunit ribosomal RNA". The record is from RNAcentral.